AGAACAGCACAUGUUAAGGAAUGAAGAGUGUACCCGUGUCGGCAAUGGCAACGCGAUCAGGAGUAACAGCCUAGAGUUAGCUGCCUCCAGUAACCCGAUUUUAAUCGCCCGUUAAAUACCCUUUUUGCCUUUUCCAGAAUGUCAUGAAAAUGGAAUCAGACCGUAUGUAGCCUUUUGAGGAUAGAGGAUCUCCCCCACCACCCCAACUCCAGUGAGCUUUCAGAUGAGAUUGUAGCCCCAGAUGACAAUGUAAGUUCAAUCUUGUGAGAGACCUUGAGCCAGGGGCACCCAGCUAAGCCAUACUUGGGUUCCUGACCUCUAGAAACUGAAAUAUGUUUGCUAUUAUGUUUUGGGGUAAUUUGUUAUGCAACCAUAUGUAUCUAACACAGAAGCCUUUUAUUAAUAGGAGGUUGAGAAAGUUCACUUUCAUUCCUAGUUUGC
RNAcentral lists this long non-coding RNA (441 nucleotides) under Homo sapiens (human). RNAcentral describes it as "non-protein coding lnc-ATP5S-1:2". Lineage: Eukaryota; Metazoa; Chordata; Mammalia; Primates; Hominidae. The record is from RNAcentral.